ACAUGCCUACAAUAUAGUGUUAAUGCACCAGAUCCCAUUAGAACUUUGUAGUUAAGCGCACUCAGGCUAGAGUAGUACUCAGAUGGGUGACCGCUCAUGAAUUCCUAAUGUUUUACAUGCC
Non-coding RNA from Picea glauca (white spruce), 121 nucleotides. NCBI's taxonomy places the organism in Eukaryota, Viridiplantae, Streptophyta, Pinopsida, Pinales, Pinaceae. The record is from Rfam.